AAAAGUGAAGUAUAAGAUUUUACAUUUCAGUUACAUUGAACAAAUCCCUAGUAAGGGCGCUUUUA
RNAcentral lists this transfer RNA (65 nucleotides) under Rostanga pulchra. Its description in RNAcentral is "tRNA-Val". The record is from RNAcentral. Lineage: Eukaryota; Metazoa; Mollusca; Gastropoda; Nudibranchia; Dorididae.